AUUUCUUUUCAAAAAAAGGUAUAAGCACAUGUCUGUGUGGAACACUAAUAGUUCCCAACAUUCCUGACAAUUCCAACAGACACUCCAAUAAUAAUGCUUGUAUAUUACAGCUCCAAAUGCGUACAUAUACUUUUAAAAGCAAACAUAUACCUCUAAAUUACUGUUCCUUGGCACGCGAUUUGAAUUAAUUACCAAAUAAUCAAGAUUGAAAAAUCUCAACCACGAACAACAUUACAGGCUAAGUAAUUAUCACCCUGAAUUACUAGAUCUAUUUGCAAAAAGCAAGAACUGAAAAUGCUUAAGUCUGCAUAAUACCUUAAAUAAAAUGGAGACAAUCUCGAAGACUCAAAUUAAACAAAACUACCGAAG
RNAcentral lists this unclassified non-coding RNA (369 nucleotides) under Hevea brasiliensis (rubber tree). Lineage: Eukaryota; Viridiplantae; Streptophyta; Magnoliopsida; Malpighiales; Euphorbiaceae. The record is from RNAcentral.